GGGAAAAUGAAGGUAUCCUUUUCGGCACAUGGUAAAAUAGAAUGAAGAACAAAUUUUCAAAUCAACAAACACAUCACACUAGAAAAAAACCACAGCCCAGCAUAACUAAUUGAAUCCAAUUAAGGAAACAACUUGCUAUGAUUUACACAAAUUGAACAGAAAUUCAAGCUUUACUACAAAAGAAAUAUGAAAAAAGCUUACUUAAAAACCAGAAAAGUUAAUACAUGAAGAUAAUUUCAAUAUAGUAAAAUUUAA
This 255-nucleotide unclassified non-coding RNA is filed under the name Hevea brasiliensis (rubber tree). Lineage: Eukaryota; Viridiplantae; Streptophyta; Magnoliopsida; Malpighiales; Euphorbiaceae. The record is from RNAcentral.